Brassica oleracea var. oleracea is the source of this 567-nucleotide long non-coding RNA. RefSeq lists it as uncharacterized. NCBI's taxonomy places the organism in Eukaryota, Viridiplantae, Streptophyta, Magnoliopsida, Brassicales, Brassicaceae. The record is from RefSeq and is a predicted model, not a curated record. The transcript has 2 exons.
AAUCCAAAGUACUCUCGAGUAAACCGGACACGAAAACCGAAGGGAAGAUAUUCAAUUUUGAUCCGUCAACGUCAGCACACACAUAAAUAUCCCGGUUCAAUAAGCGGUUCGGAGUUGUGAAAAGAAAGAGAAGACUGAACUUUGUUUCGCGACGCCGCCGAGACUCGAGACUCGAGAGAGAUGGGGAUAGUAACGAAAGCAGGAGAUUGGUCGUUCAAGGCCUUCACAGCGGGGCUAGGGCUCGCCACCAUCUACCUUACCACCACUUUCUCCGUCAACGUCUACCGUGGCCUUUCUUGGCACAACGCUCAAUCUAAAUUGGAGAUGGAGCAAUCUGAAGAACAACCAGAAUGAUCUGAAUUAUGUUGCUGCUAAUCUAUCUCUCUCACGCAGCAGAUGCUUUCUUUCUGCGAACGUUGUUUCGUUGCAUACACUUUUAAGUAUAUCAUUGUUUCGAUACUAGGAGCAAUUAAAUAAAUGAAAUAUUUGUGUUUGAUAAAUUCAUCAAACUUGUGUGAUGCGAUUCUGAAUGUUCGAUAAUGCAACAAAGAAACAACUUUUUCAUUA